This 1558-nucleotide ribosomal RNA is filed under the name Podosphaera xanthii. Its description in RNAcentral is "mitochondrial SSU rRNA". It matches the Rfam family "Bacterial small subunit ribosomal RNA". Lineage: Eukaryota; Fungi; Ascomycota; Leotiomycetes; Helotiales; Erysiphaceae. The record is from RNAcentral.
AAAAAGUUGAGUUUGGUGAUGGCUCUGAUUGAAUGCUGUCCAAGUGCUUUGACACAUGCUAAUCGUACGUUUUAAUUUAAAAGUUAAAAAGUGGUGUACAGGUGAGUAUAAUGGUAUUCUCCGCCGGCCUUAAAGUAAAGCUAAAUUCUUUAUAUAAAAAGGAAAUUAAUUUUUCCGCUUUAAGAGGACAAUGAAUAUCUUCGGGAUAGGUAGUAGUUAAGGUGAUGGCUUAACUAGCUAACAACUCUCGUAGUCGAAACUGAAAGGUUAAUCGAUCACAUUGGGUCUGAAAAAACCCCAAUGCAUAUUAGUACAGCAGUGAGGAAUCUUGGUCAAUGGCCUAACGGCUGAACUGGCAACUUGGAGAAGUGGCAAGUCUUCCAGUAUGGGGAGCAAACAGCUAUGGGUCAAGCCCGAUAAGACUAAGGUUGCUUUAAGUAACCUUUUUAGUCGAAUAUAAAAUUAUAUUAAAUUUGAAUGAAACUUUGUUUAUGUCAUUGAUAAUGACAAUGCAUAUAUAGCGUCUUGACUAAUUGCGUGCCAGCAGUCGCGGUAAUACGUAAGAGACUAGUGUUAUUCAUCUUAAUUAGGUUUAAAGGGUACCUAAACGGUCAAAAUAUCUUGUAAAAUGUGAAUAUUUGACUAGAGUUUAUAUGUAAGAAGAUAGUACUUGAGGAGGAGAGAUAAAAUUUCGUGAUACCAAAAGGACUCGGUAAAGGCGAAGGCAGCCUUCUAUGUAAAAACUGACGUUGAGGGACGAAGGCUUAGAUAACAAACAGGAUUAGAUACCCAAGUAGUCUUUGCAGUAAAUUAUGAAUGCCAUAGGUUUGGGUUUUUCCCUUAACUAUAAAUGAAAGUGUAAGCAUUUCACCUCAAGAGUAAUGUGGCAACGCAGGAACUGAAAUCACUAGACCGUUUCUAACACCAGUAGUGAAGUAUGUUGUUUAAUUCGAUGAUCCACGAAAAACCUUACCACAACUUGAAUAUUGCAAAUAUUUGCAAAACAGGAGUUGCACGGCUGUUUUCAGUUAAUGUUGUGAAAUUAUGGUUUCCAUAAAAUUAACGAAAUCCCAGGCUUUAUUUCUAUUAGCUGUCGGCGGUUUUAAUCCGCGUUCACUACUUCAGAUUUAUAAAGUACCUUAACCCUACUGUGGUUAAUCUAAUAGGGACUAAGACAAGUCAUCAUGGCCUUGAUAUUGUGGGCUAUAGACGUGCCACAUAUACCCAAACAAAGAGUUGCGAAAAUGUGAAUUUAAGCUAAUCUCAAAAAAUAGGAUAAAAUUUUAAGGAUUGUAGCCUGUAACUCGGCUGCAUGAAUAAGAAAUUACUAGUAAUCGUGAAUCACCAUGUCACGGUGAAUAGACCUUGGAUUGGUACUAACCACUCGUCACAUGCUGAAAGGGGCAUGCGCAAUAAGUUUGCUUUCUUAGUAACAAGUAAAAAAAACAAAUAGGUUUUAUAUAUUCUUUUAUUGGGAAUCUUCGUAUGCGUGGCUCUAAUUAGUGUAAAGUCGAAAUACGGUUCGUGUAGUGGAAGUUGCACGGGAAUCAUAAAAUUU